AAUCAACGCUGGCGGCGUGCCUAACACAUGCAAGUCGCACGAGAAAGGGGCUUCGGCCCUGAGUAAAGUGGCGCACGGGUGAGUAACACGUGAAUCAUCUACCUCCGAAUGGGGAAUAACUGAGAGAAAUCUUAGCUAAUACCGCAUAAUACCUACGGGUCAAAGCAGCAAUGCGUUUGGAGAGGAGUUCGCGGUCGAUUAGUUAGUUGGCGGGGUAAUGGCCCACCAAGACGAUGAUCGAUAUCCGGCCUGAGAGGGCGCACGGACACACUGGAACUGAAACACGGUCCAGACUCCUACGGGAGGCAGCAGUGGGGAAUUUUGCGCAAUGGGGGAAACCCUGACGCAGCAACGCCGCGUGGAGGAUGAAAUAUCUUGGUAUGUAAACUCCUUUCGAUGGGGAAGAUAAUGACGGUACCCAUAGAAGAAGCCCCGGCUAACUUCGUGCCAGCCGCCGCCGUAAU
RNAcentral lists this ribosomal RNA (464 nucleotides) under uncultured bacterium. RNAcentral describes it as "bacterial SSU rRNA". It matches the Rfam family "Bacterial small subunit ribosomal RNA", at positions 32 to 524 of the family's 1533-position model. The record is from RNAcentral.